This 253-nucleotide ribosomal RNA is filed under the name uncultured bacterium. RNAcentral describes it as "partial 16S ribosomal RNA". It matches the Rfam family "Bacterial small subunit ribosomal RNA", at positions 524 to 776 of the family's 1533-position model. The record is from RNAcentral.
UACAGAGGGUGCGAGCGUUAAUCGGAAUUACUGGGCGUAAAGCGUGCGUAGACGGUUAUGUAAGUCAGGUGUGAAAGCCCCGGGCUCAACCUGGGAAUUGCAUUUGAGACUGCAUAGCUAGGGUGCGGAAGAGGGAAGCGGAAUUUCCGGUGUAGCGGUGAAAUGCGUAGAUAUCGGAAGGAACAUCAGUGGCGAAAGCGGCUUCCUGGUCCAGCACCGACGUUCAGGCACGAAAGCGUGGGGAGCGAACAGG